GCUUACCAAUUAACAGUUACUCUCAUUCAGGCAUUUCACCAAACACAUCACAGGCAUGAAAAGACAAGCACAAAGAUACCAGAUUUACGUGGUUCGGCAGCAAGUGCCUACAUCCACGGGGAGGAGGAGCAAUCCACUAUGUCAAUCUUUCCAAUAGGGUACAAACAUAGAUACAUAAAAGCCCAAAAUAUGGACUGCCAAAUGAUCACAAUAGGAGGCAAAAAAUAAACCAAAUAUGAGGCAAAAUACCAAUCGGAUCAGCCCUUCUGCAGCCACAAUGACAGAUCAAAAGUGUAGUAUGCAAAGCAACCUUUCUACGGCUCCAAUGGUAGAUCAAAUGAAUAUCAAAAACAUACCUUCCCUUGUUGCAUAUGCUGUGAACAGCAAAUAAGAAAGAGGCUCACGGAAACAAGAAAGUCACAGGAAGAAGCCACGGCUGAAGAAGGGAAGAAGGAAGAAGGCCUCCAGCGAGCGGUAGACAAAGGGAACCCAAGUCUGAUGUUGCCGGGAGACCGAGAGUGCACGGGAGGAUGAAGAGGAUGGAGUGCGGCGGCUGAAACCCCUUUCACCCUAAAACAAAACAAAACAAAACCCUUCAUCCCACGGGAACAAAAGAAUGGCUGCCUUAUAUAUAAUGGGAUGUCAUUUUUGCAAAUAGGUCCCUCUCAAAACAACUAUUUGGAGCAAAGUCCAAAAUAAUCAACACUCUCGUUGAUCUAG
Molecule: long non-coding RNA, 720 nt
Filed under: Phoenix dactylifera (date palm)
Lineage: Eukaryota; Viridiplantae; Streptophyta; Magnoliopsida; Arecales; Arecaceae
Description: long non-coding RNA (PDAC_LNC004418)
Source: RNAcentral